This is a long non-coding RNA of Diorhabda carinulata, 632 nucleotides long. RefSeq lists it as uncharacterized. The transcript is spliced from 2 exons. The record is from RefSeq and is a predicted model, not a curated record. NCBI's taxonomy places the organism in Eukaryota, Metazoa, Arthropoda, Insecta, Coleoptera, Chrysomelidae.
GUUUUAAUUUUUUUUUAUUUCCAUAAAUCCGCCGUAAAAACGAAGAUUUUAAAAAAAUGAUUCGAAAUCUGAUGAUUUUUCGAUUUUCUAGUAUAAAAUUACAGUUUUUUUACCAUACAUUAUAUCUCGGCAUUAAUUGUGGCUUUAUAAAAACAUUAAAUUUUGUAAAUUAUUUUCCAUAAUUGAAGCUCAACUUCUAACAGACACGGAAUGUUUAUUUGACAACUGCUAAAAUACUUGCAAAGCUUUCUAAAAAUGUACGAAUUUUUUGUCUCCACACCCUUAUUCCGAAACGAAUUUUGUUGGAUCGUUUCGACGAGUUAUUUUUUAAACAAAAUUAUUAGAAAGUUUGUUAGUGCGGAAUCCCCCUUUUCUCUAGUUUAAAAGCAUAUUAUUUAUUUAUAAAACGUAUAUCAUUUCUAUGCAUAGUAAUUUAUUUCGUGUUUACAAUUAAAUUAAUUAUGGAGGUAUUCAAAUUAUGUCACAAUGUUUGAUUAAUUAAUUAACUUCUAUGUAACAGUCAUCGACCUUUUUCUCUGCACUUGGAAAAGAAUUAAUUAAAGUCUAAUUGAAUAAAAUUAAAUUGAUUUAUGCAAUUUUAUAUAAUAAAAUAAAACAUCAUAUAUUAUAAA